Molecule: small nuclear RNA, 107 nt
Filed under: Lottia gigantea (owl limpet)
Lineage: Eukaryota; Metazoa; Mollusca; Gastropoda; Lottiidae
Source: RNAcentral
GCAUUACUGACGUAAUCCAUAUACUAAAACUUGGAACGAUACAGAGAAGAUUAGCAUGGCCUCUGCGCAAGGAUGACGCGCAAAUUCGUGAAGCGUUCCAUAUUUUU